GAUGAACGCUGGCGGCGUGCCUAAUACAUGCAAGUCGAGCGAACAGACGAGGAGCUUGCUCCUCUGACGUUAGCGGCGGACGGGUGAGUAACACGUGGAUAACCUACCUAUAAGACUGGGAUAACUUCGGGAAACCGGAGCUAAUACCGGAUAAUAUAUUGAACCGCAUGGUUCAAUAGUGAAAGACGGUUUUGCUGUCACUUAUAGAUGGAUCCGCGCCGCAUUAGCUAGUUGGCAAGGUAACGGCUUACCAAGGCAACGAUGCGUAGCCGACCUGAGAGGGUGAUAGGCCACACUGGAACGGAGACACGGUCCAGACUACUACGGGAGGCAGCAGUAGGGAAUGUUCCGCAAUGGGCGAAAGCCUGACGGAGCAACGCCGCGUGAGUGAUGAAGGUCUUCGGAUCGUAAAACUCUGUUAUUAGGGAAGAACAAAUGUGUAAGUAACUAUGCACGUCGUGACGGUAACUAAUCAGAAAGCCACGGCUAACUACGUG
Molecule: ribosomal RNA, 497 nt
Filed under: uncultured bacterium
Lineage: Bacteria
Description: partial 16S ribosomal RNA
Rfam family: Bacterial small subunit ribosomal RNA
Source: RNAcentral